This 496-nucleotide ribosomal RNA is filed under the name uncultured bacterium. RNAcentral's name for it is "partial 16S ribosomal RNA". It matches the Rfam family "Bacterial small subunit ribosomal RNA", at positions 29 to 507 of the family's 1533-position model. The record is from RNAcentral.
AUGAACGCUGGCGGCGUGCCUAAUACAUGCAAGUCGAGCGAACAGACGAGGAGCUUGCUCCUCUGACGUUAGCGGCGGACGGGUGAGUAACACGUGGAUAACCUACCUAUAAGACUGGGAUAACUUCGGGAAACCGGAGCUAAUACCGGAUAAUAUAUUGAACCGCAUGGUUCCAUAGUGAAAGACGGUUUUGCUGUCACUUAUAGAUGGAUCCGCGCCGCAUUAGCUAGUUGGUAAGGUAACGGCUUACCAAGGCAACGAUGCGUAGCCGACCUGAGAGGGUGAUCGGCCACACUGGAACUGAGACACGGUCCAGACUCCUACGGGAGGCAGCAGUAGGGAAUCUUCCGCAAUGGGCGAAAGCCUGACGGAGCAACGCCGCUUGAGUGAUGAAGGUCUUCGGAUCGUAAAACUCUGUUAUUAGGGAAGAACAAAUGUGUAAGUAACUAUGCACGUCUUGACGGUACCUAAUCAGAAAGCCACGGCUAACUACGUG